AAGGAUUUAAGUUAAAUAAACUCGUAGCCUUCAAAGCUUCUAACAAAGAAAAAAAAACCAUCUUUAAGCCUUA
RNAcentral lists this transfer RNA (73 nucleotides) under Acrotona obfuscata. RNAcentral's name for it is "tRNA-Trp". The record is from RNAcentral. Lineage: Eukaryota; Metazoa; Arthropoda; Insecta; Coleoptera; Staphylinidae.